Molecule: ribosomal RNA, 592 nt
Filed under: uncultured bacterium
Lineage: Bacteria
Description: bacterial SSU rRNA
Rfam family: Bacterial small subunit ribosomal RNA
Source: RNAcentral
UGCUAAUACCGCAUAAUAGUAUUUGAUGCAUAUCAGAUACUUGAAAGGCGCAAUUGCGUCACUAGAAGAUGGCCCCGCGGUGCAUUAGCUAGUUGGUGAGGUAACGGCUCACCAAGGCAAUGAUGCAUAGCCGACCUGAGAGGGUGAUCGGCCACACUGGGACUGAGACACGGCCCAGACUCCUACGGGAGGCAGCAGUAGGGAAUCUUCGGCAAUGGACGCAAGUCUGACCGAGCAACGCCGCGUGAGUGAAGAAGGUUUUCGGAUCGUAAAACUCUGUUGUAAGAGAAGAACGUUGAUGAGAGUGGAAAGUUCAUCAAGUGACGGUAUCUUACCAGAAAGGCACGGCUAACUACGUGCCAGCAGCCGCGGUAAUACGUAGGUGGCAAGCGUUGUCCGGAUUUAUUGGGCGUAAAGCGAGCGCAGGCGGUUGAUUAAGUCUGAUGUGAAAGCCCCCGGCUCAACCGGGGAGGGUCAUUGGAAACUGGUCAACUUGAGUGCAGAAGAGGAGAGUGGAAUUCCAUGUGUAGCGGUGAAAUGCGUAGAUAUAUGGAGGAACACCAGUGGCGAAGGCGGCUCUCUGGUCUGUAAC